CCUACGGGAGGCAGCAGUGGGGAAUAUUGGACAAUGGGCGCAAGCCUGAUCCAGCAAUGCCGCGUGAGUGAUGAAGGCCUUAGGGUUGUAAAGCUCUUUUACCCGGGAUGAUAAUGACAGUACCGGGAGAAUAAGCUCCGGCUAACUCCGUGCCAGCAGCCGCGGUAAUACGGAGGGAGCUAGCGUUGUUCGGAAUUACUGGGCGUAAAGCGCGCGUAGGCGGCUACUCAAGUCAGGGGUGAAAGCCCGGGGCUCAACCCCGGAACUGCCUUUGAAACUAGGUAGCUAGAAUCUUGGAGAGGUCAGUGGAAUUCCGAGUGUAGAGGUGAAAUUCGUAGAUAUUCGGAAGAACACCAGUGGCGAAGGCGACUGACUGGACAAGUAUUGACGCUGAGGUGCGAAAGCGUGGGGAGCAAACAGGAUUAGAUACCCCAGUAGUC
RNAcentral lists this ribosomal RNA (440 nucleotides) under uncultured bacterium. Its description in RNAcentral is "bacterial SSU rRNA". It matches the Rfam family "Bacterial small subunit ribosomal RNA", at positions 338 to 795 of the family's 1533-position model. The record is from RNAcentral.